Molecule: ribosomal RNA, 582 nt
Filed under: uncultured Methylarcula sp.
Lineage: Bacteria; Pseudomonadati; Pseudomonadota; Alphaproteobacteria; Rhodobacterales; Paracoccaceae
Description: bacterial SSU rRNA
Rfam family: Bacterial small subunit ribosomal RNA
Source: RNAcentral
CAUGCAGUCGAACGAGAUCUUCGGAUCUAGUGGCGGACGGGUUAGUAACGCGUGGGAACGUGCCUCUCUCUACGGAACAGUCCUGGGAAACCGGGUUUAAUACCGUAUACGCCCUUCGGGGGAAAGAUUUAUCGGAGAGAGAUCGGCCCGCGUUGGAUUAGGUAGUUGGUGGGGUAAUGGCCUACCAAGCCGACGAUCCAUAGCUGGUUUGAGAGGAUGAUCAGCAACACUGGGACUGAGACACGGCCCAGACUCCUACGGGAGGCAGCAGUGGGGAAUCUUAGACAAUGGGGGCAACCCUGAUCUAGCCAUGCCGCGUGAGUGACGAAGGCCUUAGGGUCGUAAAGCUCUUUCGCUGGGGAAGAUAAUGACGGUACCCAGUAAAGAAACCCCGGCUAACUCCGUGCCAGCAGCCGCGGUAAUACGGAGGGGGUUAGCGUUGUUCGGAAUUACUGGGCGUAAAGCGCGCGUAGGCGGAUUGGAAAGUUGGGGGUGAAAUCCCGGGGCUCAACCCCGGAACUGCCUCCAAAACUAUCAGUCUAGAGUUCGAGAGAGGUGAGUGGAAUUCCGAGUGUAGAGGUG